Long non-coding RNA from Lolium rigidum, 4040 nucleotides. RefSeq lists it as uncharacterized. Lineage: Eukaryota; Viridiplantae; Streptophyta; Magnoliopsida; Poales; Poaceae. The record is from RefSeq and is a predicted model, not a curated record. The transcript is spliced from 8 exons.
UCGGACGAGCACGACCGCGUGCGCGGGGGAGAGGGAUAUGAGUUCAUCUGCCCCGUCGCUAACAGCCUACAACUGACCAUCCUCAGGCCGGCGAAAUAAUCAUCCUCCAAGGGCCGGCGAAAUGGUAAUUUUGCCUUCUGAUUUGCGUCGGCUCUACCGCUUUGAGUAAUGCGCAGUGCGGUGCAGCGGUGGCAAGCGCGCCAUUCCGACAGGGGACGAAAGUUAAUAUUAUAGUAGGCUCACAUGUAUGGGCUGAAGAUGCUGACAUUGCCUGGGUUGAUGGAGAGGUCGUUAAGAUCAAUGGCGAAGAGGCCGAGAUCCAAGCAACCAAUGGGAAAAAGGAAAGUUGCGUUGAACAAUUCUGCUCCUUUUUUUUAUAUAGGAAUUCAUUCUGAUAUAAUACUGCUACUUAUAUGUAAGUGUCACAAUUUUAGAUCAUUGCAAAUUUGUCGAAAUUAUAUCCUAAAGAUAUGGAAGCAGCUACCGGUGGAGUUGAUGACAUGACCAAGCUCUCCUAUCUCCAUGAGCCAGGAGUUUUGCAGAAUCUGGCGAUCAGACAUACACUGGAAAUAUUCUCAUUGCUGUCAAUCCUUUCCAAAGGUUGCCGCAUUUAUAUGACCCACAUAUGAUGCAACAGUAUAAGGGGCACCAUUUGGAGAGUUAAGUCCACAUGUUUUCGCUGUCGAAGGUGUCGCAUACAGGUACGCAAACAUAACCAAAAUCAGACCUUGGUUCCAUCGAUACACCGCUCGCAGAUUCUUUCAAUAUAUGCUUAUGAGGUGUUUGAUGGAACUACAACCAGGACAAUGAAGAUGGUGUUGUGUUGCUUUGUACAUGUGAGCAACAUAUUGCAGAAAUGUUUUCUGCACGCGAGGAUAUGGCCCAUUUAUACAAUCAAGCAUCAAUGGUUACAAGAGAAUGGAUGUUGCCAUUUCCGCUCUUGGUUUUGGUCCUCUUAUGUAAGGCUUCGGUGGCAGUCUUUUGUUUCCCUUUUAAUUAGAAUAUUUAAUAUGUAUGAUGUCCAACAUGAACCACUGAAAAUGUACUGGUUUUUUCCUCGCAUCACAUCAUGGUAAAAUAUUUGAAGUUUCUUUUCAUGGUUGAAGCAUAGCUUGAAUCUGCUAGACCAUUGCAGUUUUAUAAGGGAAAGGAUUUCUAUUACAAAAUAUUAAUUCUUGAGUUACAAGUGUAUAUCAUUUCCUAAGACUGAAUUUUUUAUAUGUUUUUGGGUCCUGGAAAUUGAUUGAUUGAGCUUCCUGUAAUUUUGCAUUUGUUGCAGUCUCCCAGUACUAAUUAGCUACUAUAAAAUUAUAUUGCUCAUAAUAAGAAGAAAAAUAUCCGAACCUUCUAUUUGUUAGGGCUGAUUUUAAAACUUAGAUAAGAUGUCUACACCCCAAUAUAUACAAAGAACAAUUCACGCUACAUGGGAGCUCUAAUGUUUUGCAGCCACUUAUUAUUUCUUCUUUGAGAUUUGUUUAAUUCUAAUAAUUUAUUUGGUAGGGCUGUACAAGAGUUGUCUGGUAUGCAUAGCUGCACUAAUUCUUGACAAGCCAAGUUAGUUAUUCUGUUGUUUUCCCCAUCUGAUGGAUUAAUACUGGAAAAAUCAUGCCCCAUUUGACUGAUCUGAAGCAUCUGCAGAUCCAUGAAUAUGCCUUCCUUGCUUUUACUGCUCGUGUAAGUAUUUGUGCUUCUGUAUCUGAAUAGCGCUGUCUAUGUUUCAGAAUUAUCUUGCAAAAUAUGGUAGGUACGAUGGCAGGGUUUCGAUUUGAGUUUCUCUAAAUUUGAAAUGCUAGGAAUAAUAUUGUACCAACAGCUUUCUUCUCGGAAUUACUUUGUAUUAUUCUUUACGAAAAGAGUUCACGAAAUAGGUUAAAGAAUGGACGUUACGACUUCAGUGGCUUUCUUUGCUGUAAUUAGUUUGAAUUAUUUUUUAUGGAUAGAGUUCAGGAAAUAGGUUAAUGAUAGUCUUCCCUUGGCAUGAACCAAUCAAGAUGGUAGUUAAAAGUUAAAAGAGUGUCCAGAUAAAUAAAAGGGCCUUCUUGUAUGAAUUAGUUGGUCUUUUGAUGAGAGGUUUAUGAAUGUGAUGCCUACUAGAAUUGUAAAAGAGACAUGAUAAAGGCUUCACAGUUCACUGGUAUUUCUUUCUGUUACACUCAAGUGAAAUCUGACAUGGGACUAUUAUUCUUGGUUGAAGGCGCUAUUUUUGGUUGACAAUUAUUUUUCGUCCGGAUGAACUAGGUUCUGAGCAGCGUGUACUAGAAAGCAUGAUCUGGGUUUAAUGUAUUGUCUACUCUGUGUAAGAAAUUUAACUUGAUGAAUAUGAGUGAUGUCUUUUUCUUGCUUAUAUAUGUUUGUUUUUUAAUACAACACUAUUACCAUAAGAAGGUAGCCUCAUUAAUAUUGUCAUUUAUGUGAAACAAAUCUACAUGUAUUGUGGUAGGAGUAUAAAAGAGAGACAUAUGUUCACCUCACCAUGCUCUCUAGACGGAAUCAUCACAAAGAUUGCAGAAGCUGAUAGGACACUCGGGUUGGAUCUAUUUUGGUUAGAGGACAAAUGAUACAAGCAUAUCAGAUAUAGUCUCCCAUGAUACAUGUUAAUUCGAUUUUCCUUUUUAUGAUGGAUUCCGGGGCUGAAUUACCGCUGAGUGGUUAGUGAUGGGGUUGGUUUUCUUGAUGUUAUGCCUUUUUGUUUGGUACAAAUUUAGUUCCGAAAUGCUAAUUGGUUAUAAACUAAAUCAUUGUUUCCUCAUCAUAAAGGAACAACAUUUUGGUUCUCCGUGCAAUCCAGCGAUUGCUCUUUAGGCUUAUUGAGAAGAGUUGAGGCCUAUUGCCAUGCUGCCCAAGAUUACAGACCAAGAUACCGGUAUAGGCUACACAGAGCAGUUUUUGCCCUCUACCCUUAACUUGACCUAAAAUUUGUGAACUAAUCCAUGGGGAGUACUUGAGAAAAAUCUAUAUUCAAAUUAGUGAAGCACCAAUAUGGAUUGUAAUUGUUUACUGUAUGAGUAGCAUUUUGCUAAGUAGUAUUUGGCAAUUGCCUAAAAUUAUCUUUAGUUUGUAUUGUUAGUUCAUGGAACUUUGCGGCAAGCUAAUUCUGUCCCACCAUGGAAGCUCACUUCCAUGAGGAAAUUGUUUGAUAUUCAAUGAUGUGCCCUUUCCCAAAAACCUUAAUCGUGAAUCUAGAAAAUAACCUUAAUUGGUGUUCCUCCACACAGUUGUAAACUAAGCGGUAUGAUUGGAUGGUAUUUGAUGUUGAAUGCUACUCCAAAGAAAGGCAUCUCAUAUGUUUGGAGGAGUAUUUUCUCAAAGGCCUGAAUUUUCUGAAAAUAGGAUUCAUCUGCCGAGUGGGCAAUGGUGAAAACAUAAGCGUCUGAUCAGAUCCAUCGAUUCCUAGAGGGAGCACACUCAAAAUCAAGGCAUGUGAAUCCGUUGGCUAGAAGAUGAGAUGUGGAGCUUUCCUGACAACACUUUGGCCUGAAGAUGCUGAUAUUAUUCUCAAGAUUCAUGUCCAAGAAGACACAGAGGAAAAGAAAUCUUGCUUUUACUGGAAAAAGCUAUGACGCUCUCUCUCUUUCCCAAUAAGGUGUUCAGCCUACCCCUAAGAAUGAAGCUUUUCAGGAAAGAAAGGAAUGCUGGCAUGAUGCAAAAAUAAAAUAGCUCACACACCAAGCACGCAAGUGUUGUUUCAGUAUUAACAUAUUUCAGAUCUCACCAUAACUUCUUCCCAGCUCAUGUGUGUCUUUUAAAGCAAUAUCGCCAAAAUUCAUUGAACCAAUUGGAUAAUUCUAUUACUGUAGUACCAGUCUGCACUCCCCAUUGCUAAAUUCGCAUAGUAGAAACCUUUGGCACGUUGUGUUUUGUCAUCAAUCCAAGAAAAAAGGCCCCGAUGUCUAAGAUUCUGUACUGUCAUUUAAAUUAUAUACUUCGUGAAGUUUAGCUGAUCAGGAUUAUGAAUGGCAUGCUUUAAUGAAAUUGUUCAUUCUGUUGUAACUAAUUGUACACACAUUUAUUGCAUCAUGAAUAAAGUCUAUUUUCUGAUA